Molecule: ribosomal RNA, 450 nt
Filed under: uncultured bacterium
Lineage: Bacteria
Description: partial 16S ribosomal RNA
Rfam family: Bacterial small subunit ribosomal RNA
Source: RNAcentral
CCUACGGGGGGCUGCAGUAAGGAAUAUUGGUCAAUGGGCGAAAGUCUGAACCAGCCAUCCCGCGUGCAGGAUGAAAGCCCUAUGGGUUGUAAACUGCUUUUAGCAGAGAAGAAAAGCUUUCAUUAAUGAGAGUCUGACGGUAUCUGCAGAAUAAGCACCGGCUAACUCCGUGCCAGCAGCCGCGGUAAUACGGAGGGUGCGAGCGUUACUCGGUAUAACUGGGGCUAAAGGGGAGGAUGACGGAGGUGGUGAAAUCUUGUCGCUUAACGAUACAAUUGCCAAUGAUACUGGUACUCUUGAAUUGGGUUGAGGUUAGCGGAAUGUGACAUGUAGCGGUGAAAUGCAUAGAUAUGUCAUGGAACACCAAUUGCGAAGGCAGCUAACUGGGCCUUGAUUGACGCUGAGGCACGAAAGCGUGGGUAGCGAACAGGAUUAGAUACCCCGGUAGUC